Alligator sinensis (Chinese alligator) is the source of this 567-nucleotide long non-coding RNA. RefSeq lists it as uncharacterized. NCBI's taxonomy places the organism in Eukaryota, Metazoa, Chordata, Crocodylia, Alligatoridae. The transcript has 3 exons. The record is from RefSeq and is a predicted model, not a curated record.
UGUGGGGAAGGCAGUGGUGGCGGCGUCAGCGGAAGCGCGACACGGAAACGCCUCCAGGGGAGCCGAUGCCUUCCGGUUCCGGAAAAGGCCGAGGGGGUGGCAUGAGUCGCUCGACAAAGCUGCGAACAGCAAAGGAAGAGUACGCAUGCGCAGUUGAGGGCUAAAAUGGAGGGAGUUAUUUGACGCAGCACAGGAGUGCAAGCCCAGAGCUGGCAUGGUACAGGAAGGCUGAGCGCCCCGGAGGUAGACUGCCAGGCACGGUGCUUCAGCACUGUGUUGCACUCAGCUUGCGGUCAGCAUCGCCGCGCUGCAUCACCCUCUCCCAGCUGCAGCAAGCCAGCUCAACUUCAAAUAGACAAGCCAGCUGUCUACAUGCUACCCGCUUGUCGCUGAUGCCAGUCCAACCCUGGAAGGACAGACAGCCCAUCUCCUCACCCCUGUUGGAUCACAAGGGCCUCCUAGCCCUCGUUGGCAGUGGUCCCUCAAAGUCGAGGAUGACAUCCAUCAGGCUUGAUGGGUCUUCAAGUGACUGAGGAGCUUGAUUCUGGAUGCACACGUUCUUCGGCA